UUCUCCUUUCUUUUUCUUCAGAUUAAAGACAUUUAAUGUCAGAGGCUCCAACAAAUUUUCAGGAAUCUUGAUCCAAAGACAAGGCUUGCCUUAUGCUACAAAAGAAGCAUUCAAAAUCAUUCGUGAAUAGUUAAACAGAACAGACGGACCCUAAGAUUUGGAGGAUCAGAAAAAUUGAUGGCAAUAGCAAAUUGUAAAACAAAAAUGCUUUACGCGGCACGGCCGAGUCAAUUUCAUAUUUGACGAAGGAGAUGAGCCUGGGGCAUAUCUAUGCAUGUGACCAAGAUUUAUUGCAAGGAUGGGUCAUAUAAAAGUCGGUCCAAGAUUUAUUUUGUUUUUUUCUAUUAUUGGCUCAUUGUCUGAAUGUCUGUCAUUACUUCAUCGGCGCCAUGGUUGCAUCGACAUCGA
Long non-coding RNA from Quercus robur (English oak), 408 nucleotides. RefSeq lists it as uncharacterized. Lineage: Eukaryota; Viridiplantae; Streptophyta; Magnoliopsida; Fagales; Fagaceae. The record is from RefSeq and is a predicted model, not a curated record. The transcript has 3 exons.